UCGGGAAUUUUGGGCAAUGGGCGAAAGCCUGACCCAGCAACGCCGCGUGAAGGAUGAAGUAUUUCGGUAUGUAAACUUCGAAAGAAUAGGAAGAAUAAAUGACGGUACUAUUUAUAAGGUCCGGCUAACUACGUGCCAGCAGCCGCGGUAAUACGUAGGGACCAAGCGUUGUUCGGAUUUACUGGGCGUAAAGGGCGCGUAGGCGGCAUGACAAGUCACUUGUGAAAUCUCUGGGCUUAACCCAGAACGGCCAAGUGAUACUGUCGCGCUAGAGUGCAGAAGGGGCAAUCGGAAUUCUUGGUGUAGCGGUGAAAUGCGUAGAUAUCAAGAGGAACACCUGAGGUGAAGACGGGUUGCUGGGCUGACACUGACGCUGAGGCGCGAAAGCCAGGGGAGCAAACGGGGAUUAGAUACCCAAGUAGUCCCUGAGCGGGCUGGCAAGGCGCAU
Molecule: ribosomal RNA, 448 nt
Filed under: uncultured bacterium
Lineage: Bacteria
Description: bacterial SSU rRNA
Rfam family: Bacterial small subunit ribosomal RNA
Source: RNAcentral